Macaca mulatta (Rhesus monkey) is the source of this 1142-nucleotide non-coding RNA. The record is from RefSeq and is a predicted model, not a curated record. Lineage: Eukaryota; Metazoa; Chordata; Mammalia; Primates; Cercopithecidae.
CGUGCGUGCGUGUGCUGACCUUUCCACUUGGCCAACAUGCCUUUGUUUUUCUCAGCUCCUUCAAGUGGAUGGCUGUGGGAGGAGGAGCUACUAGGAGAGUAGGUUCUCAGGAAACAUUUCCCCCAAAGCCCCAGAGACACGGAGCCCACGAGACAUGAGAAAAUGAGGCUUAACCAGAAGGAGAGGUGUUCCAAGGGCAGUUCGAGGGGUGUGGGUGAGAGACAAGGAGAGACCCCUGGCAGAGAUCACUGUUAACCCUGGUGUGUGAGUGCCUGCGGGGGCAUGCUCCCGGGCAUCCUUGCCAGAUCAGCACCAUCAGCCUGGCACCUAGUGGGCAGGCUGAGCUUAUAAGGGCAGCCAAAGCUGGGUGGCCCUAGGCAAGUUGCUGCAUCUUGCCGGGACAUAUAUGGCUCAGAGUAGGCCAGGGUCCUGGGUUUGCAGUUGUGGGAUCAGUUCACUCUCUCUCCUGCCCAGAGGCGCCUGGUUGGGAGCUGUGGACUUUGGGGGCAGGAGCAGCCCCUCCCAGCACCUUGACAAUCACCCCCUUUCUCUUCUGAGUCUCAAACCUGCCUGUCCUGCACCCUGGCCUGUCCUCUGGAGGUUAUCUGAUGAGAGCCUAUUCUGAGGCGAGAAGUACCUGUGGGCACACUGGAGCACAGGCCUUGAUGUUUGCAGUGCUCCAGGCAAAAGGACAAAUGGAGGCCCAUAUACCAGAGUCUAAAUAUUAAACAACCAUAAAUCAAGCUGCUAAUAAAAUGUGUUCUAUCUUCCUACUGAACAAAUAAGCUUUCAUAGCAGUAAAAACAUCUGUAAAUCUAUGGUUUUUAUGUCUGAAAGUCAGCAGAUAUCCAAAAUGAUGGAACUUAAUAAUUAUCACUCAUGUCCAGGUGUUCAGUGACCUGAGGUUUAAGUGAGAGAAUGAAGACUUGCCUAAUGCCUAAGACAUUCUGUAUUUAUUCUGUAACAUUGAUUCUCCUCAUCUUUAUUCUAGUAAAACGACUGAUUAUGUUGUUACAGUCAAGACUUCUACACUAUUACUGUUCUUUUCAUGGUAAUGAUUCAAAAGAUUAGAAUAAGGCUGGACAUGGUGGCUCACACAUGUAAUCCCAGCGCUUUGAGAAACCAAAGUGACAGGAUUGCUU